UCGGGUGUCGUCUAACGGCAGGACAGCAGAUUUUGAUUCUGCUUAUCGUGGUUCGAAUCCAUGCACCCGAACCA
This 74-nucleotide transfer RNA is filed under the name Gammaproteobacteria bacterium. RNAcentral's name for it is "tRNA-Gln". It matches the Rfam family "tRNA". Rfam says of the family: Transfer RNA (tRNA) molecules are approximately 80 nucleotides in length. Their secondary structure includes four short double-helical elements and three loops (D, anti-codon, and T loops). Lineage: Bacteria; Pseudomonadati; Pseudomonadota; Gammaproteobacteria. The record is from RNAcentral.